CUAUUUUGGCAGAUAAAUGCUUUAAAUUUAGGAUUUAAUUAUGUAUGCUUUAAGUACAAGUAGGAA
This 66-nucleotide transfer RNA is filed under the name Rhinocola aceris. Its description in RNAcentral is "tRNA-Leu". Lineage: Eukaryota; Metazoa; Arthropoda; Insecta; Hemiptera; Aphalaridae. The record is from RNAcentral.